AUGAAGCCCCCUCACUUCACCGGGGAGGCCGCCGCCGGCGCCUCCUGGGCUCACGAGGUCAAGCAGGCCCUUCGUGACAAGCUCCGGUGGACACCCGCCGCGGGCACCACGGGCACCGGCGGCCACGGCGCCGCGAGGCCGCCGGCGGCCUCCUCGGCUGUGACCGCCGAGCCGGUGGCGCAGCCGGCCCACGGCGCCGACUGCCGGGGCUUGGCCGCCGCCGAGGACCCCAUCAGGAGGGUCAUGUUCUUGGCCCCCUGGGGCCACACAUAA
Molecule: ribosomal RNA, 273 nt
Filed under: Triticum aestivum (bread wheat)
Lineage: Eukaryota; Viridiplantae; Streptophyta; Magnoliopsida; Poales; Poaceae
Description: partial small subunit ribosomal RNA
Source: RNAcentral